AGAACUCAACUAACGACUUUACCACUUCCCCGUGGAAGACGUCAGCUGGAACCAAAAAUAUCCCAAUCUUCUGCUGUAGCGGGACAAACACCGACAACUACAAUCUGGUCACUUUUACCACCUGUACUGAUGAAGUGUAUCUAGGUUACUACUCCACGGGUUGUUACAGUGCUGUGGAAAAAACUGUGUCAACAUAUACAGUGUACUUCAUCGUUACAGGAUGCAUCAUUCUUGCAGUAGAGCUUAUUGGUCUCAUUUGUGCCUGCUGCUUAUGUAAAAACAUUGGGAAGAAAGAUGGAGAGGUGUCACCGGGUAGAAAAAAGAAGAAGUAAAUCUGGAAAUGAUCUGAAAUUGUCAAUAAAUACCAUGACAUGAGUAACUUUAUAUAAACACCCCUUGAUAAAAGAGUACAUAUUACAUGUCCUCACAAGGAGAUAGACAAUGCGUUUAUAAUGUGGAAGAAAGGUACCAUUGAUAUCUUUGCUUUUGUGUCUACUUCACGUAAAUGAAUCUAUUUAUUUGUAUCAUAGUUUGCUAUCUAUCCUCAUUUAAUUAUGUUUCGUAAUGUAAAUCUUCAAUUGCUAUCAUAUAAUAAAUUCUUGAAUUUAUGACG
This is a long non-coding RNA of Ostrea edulis (European flat oyster), 613 nucleotides long. RefSeq lists it as uncharacterized. Lineage: Eukaryota; Metazoa; Mollusca; Bivalvia; Ostreida; Ostreidae. The transcript has 3 exons. The record is from RefSeq and is a predicted model, not a curated record.